RNAcentral lists this non-coding RNA (23 nucleotides) under Rattus norvegicus (Norway rat). The record is from RNAcentral. Lineage: Eukaryota; Metazoa; Chordata; Mammalia; Rodentia; Muridae.
AUUCAAGUAAAUGUGCCACCUCC